AUGGCGACAGAGAAGGUGUUGAGCGACGACAACCUGCUGGAGGAGAUCCUCCUCCGGCUCGACCUCCCCACCUGCCUCGUCCGCGCCUCCCUCGCCUGCUCCCGCUGGCUCUGCGCCGUCUCCCGGCCGGCCUUCCUCCGCCGCUUCCGCAGGCUUCACGCGCCCCGUCUCCUCGGCUUCUACGUCGUCGGCGACGGCGUCCCGCGCCAAGACUUCGUGCCGGUCUCGGCGCAGGUGUCGACGCUUGGAUCCGGCGCCUGGACGGUCCAGAUCGCCAAAGCGGAGCUCCCGGAGCCGCCGGACAGAAUCCCCGACCUAACCGUGCUCCUCCGCGGCAAGCUCUACAUGGUGACCACGGCCGGAUACAUCCUCGGGUUAGACUUGGCCGCGGCGAGCUUCUUCGUGGUCCAGCUCCCGGACGGCGUCACGUACCAGUACUUCGGCAGCCUGGUCCUGUCCCGAGGAUACGACGACCACCACCACGACGGUGAUCACCUCUACCUUUUCCAUGUGGUGGAUAGGUUUCAGCUGCAGGUCUGGCGCCGCCGGCCCUGGACGACGGCGGCAGAUGACGAGGCCCAGUGGGUUCUUGUGCACAGCAUCUGUCUGCGCAAGGCGUGCGGCCAUCUUGUGCAGCAGACGCUUGUAGGUUUCUCGGUGGUCGGGGUCGGGGACAACGCCGAGUUCGCCUUCUUGGAGGAGGAUAGUGGCGCCUUCGUCUUGCUGUGGCUAGGGAGCAGGACAGUGGAGAAGGUGUACCAGAGGGACCCGGACAACGAUGAACUCAUCAUCGUGUAUCCAGUUACCAUGGUCUGGCCGCCUGUGUUCCCUCCACAUCAAGCAAGCAGAGCAAAGUUCAGGAACCUGGAAGAGGCAGAGCAA
RNAcentral lists this ribosomal RNA (882 nucleotides) under Triticum aestivum (bread wheat). RNAcentral's name for it is "partial small subunit ribosomal RNA". The record is from RNAcentral. Lineage: Eukaryota; Viridiplantae; Streptophyta; Magnoliopsida; Poales; Poaceae.